CCUACGGGGGGCAGCAGUGGGGAAUAUUGGGCAAUGGAGGCAACUCUGACCCAGCAACGCCGCGUGAAUGAUGAAGGUCUUCGGAUUGUAAAGUUCUUUUCUAAGGGAAGAAGAAAGUGACGGUACCUUAGGAAUAAGCCUCGGCUAACUACGUGCCAGCAGCCGCGGUAAUACGUAGGAGGCAAGCGUUAUCCGGAAUGACUGGGCGUAAAGGGUGCGUAGGUGGUUUGACAAGUUAGUAGCGCAACUCCGGAGCUCAACUUCGGAACUACUACUAAAACUGUUGGACUUGAGUGCAGGAGGGGCAAUCGGAAUUCCUAGUGUAGCGGUGGAAUGCGUAGAUAUUAGGAGGAACACCAGUGGCGAAGGCGGAUUGCUAGACUGUAACUGACACUGAGGCACGAAAGCGUGGGGAGCAAACAGGAUUAGAUA
Molecule: ribosomal RNA, 432 nt
Filed under: uncultured bacterium
Lineage: Bacteria
Description: bacterial SSU rRNA
Rfam family: Bacterial small subunit ribosomal RNA
Source: RNAcentral